Molecule: ribosomal RNA, 1533 nt
Filed under: Triticum aestivum (bread wheat)
Lineage: Eukaryota; Viridiplantae; Streptophyta; Magnoliopsida; Poales; Poaceae
Description: partial small subunit ribosomal RNA
Source: RNAcentral
AUGACGGGGCCGCCGCACCGGGACCAGGAGCGGGACCGGCGCCGGACGCUGCUGCUGGUGAGCCUGGCGUCCAUCAUGGAGCGCGCCGACGAGGCGCUGCUCCCGGCGGUGUACCGCGAGAUCGGCGCCGCCAUGCACGCCGACCCCACCUGGCUCGGCUCCCUCACGCUGUGCCGCUCCAUCGUGCAGGCCGCGUGCUACCCGCUCGCCGCCUACGCCGCCGCACGGCACAACCGCGCCCGCGUCAUCGCCGUGGGGGCAUUCCUCUGGGCCGCCGCCACCUUCCUCGUCGGCGUCUCCGAAACCUUCCUCCAGGUAGCAAUCUCGAGGGGACUGAAUGGCAUCGGCCUCGCGCUCGUGGUACCAUCGAUCCAGUCACUGGUCGCCGACUCCACGGACGACGGCACGCGCGGCUCGGCGUUCGGCUGGCUGCAGCUCGCAAGCUGCAUCGGGCUCAUCGCCGGCGGCUUCGUCGGCCUGCUGCUGGCGCAGACCACGGUCCUCGGGAUCGCCGGCUGGCGCAUCGCCUUCCACCUCGUGGCGGCCAUCAGCGUCGCCGUUGGUGCCCUCAACUGGUUCUUCUCCGUGGACCCCCAUUUCCCCACGGGCGACGCGGCUGCCAGCCCAGGCGGCGACGAGAAGCCCGCCGUGCGGCAGGUGGUGGAGGAGAUGAUCGCGGAGGCCAAGUUCGUGGUGCAGGUCCCGACGUUCCAGAUCUUCGUGGCGCAGGGCGUCAGCGGCUCGUUCCCGUGGUCCGCGCUCUCCUCCUUCGCGUCCAUGUGGCUCGAGCUCAUCGGGUUCAGCCACCGGGAGACAGCCGUGCUCAUGACCAUCUUCUGGGUCGCGAGCUCCCUCGGCGGCCUCAUCGGGGGCAAGCUGGGCGACCUCCUCGCCCUGCGGUACCCGGACGCCGGGAGGAUCGUCCUGUCGCAGAUCAGCGCCGGCUCGGCCGUGCCCCUUGCCGCCGUGCUGCUCAGGGGGCUCCCCGAUGACCCGUCCACCGGCGUCAUCCACGGCGUCGUCCUGUUCGUCAUGGGCGUGUUCAUCUCCUGGAACGGCCCUGCUACAAACUUCCCAAUUUUUGCGGAGAUCGUGCCGGAGAAAUCAAGAACGAGCAUCUACGCGCUCGACAGGUCGUUCGAGACGGUGCUGUCAUCGUUCGCGCCGCCGAUCGUCGGCAUCCUGGCGCAGCGCGUGUAUGGGUACAGGCCGGACGACAAGGGGACAAGCACCCAGCUGGACCGGGAGAACGCGGCGUCGCUGGCCAAGGCGCUGUACACGGCCAUCGCGAUACCGUUCACGGUGUGCGCCGCCAUAUACUCCUUCCUGUACUGCAGCUAUCCCCGGGACAGGGACCGUGCCCGGAUGCAGUCGCUGGCGGAGUCGGAGAUGCAGCAGGUGGAGCACGAGGGUUCUCGCUUGGAAGGCGGCGAUGGAGAUGGAGGAUCUAUCGUUCAUGGUUUGAAGGAGGAGUCGCCGGAGGCUGAGAAGGAUACCGCGAAACUGUUAUCGGACGUUGAGCAAGGUAGAUGA